Molecule: ribosomal RNA, 492 nt
Filed under: uncultured bacterium
Lineage: Bacteria
Description: partial 16S ribosomal RNA
Rfam family: Bacterial small subunit ribosomal RNA
Source: RNAcentral
AGUGAACGCUGGCGGUAGGCCUAACACAUGCAAGUCGAACGGCAGCACAGUAAGAGCUUGCUCUUACGGGUGGCGAGUGGAGGACGGGUGAGGAAUACAGCGGAAUCUACUUUUGCGUGGGGGAUAACGUAGGGAAACUUAAGCUAAUACCGCAUACGACCUACGGGUGAAAGCAGGGGAUCUUCGGACCUUGCGCGAGUGAAUGAGCAGAUGUCGGAUUAGAUAGUUGGCGGGGUAAAGGCCCACCAAGGCGACGAACCGUAGCUGGUCUGAGAGGAUGAUCAGCCCCACUGGAACUGCGACACGGUCCAGACUCCUACGGGAGGCAGCAGUGGGGAAUAUUGGACAAUGGGCGCAAGCCUGAUCCAGCCAUACCGCUUGGGUGAAGAAGGCCUUCGGGUUGUAAAGCCCUUUUCUUGGGAAAGAAAAGCAGCAGGUUAAUACCCCGCUGUUCUGACGGUACCCAAAGAAUAAGCACCGGCUAACUUCGUG